Molecule: small nuclear RNA, 100 nt
Organism: Colobus angolensis palliatus
Lineage: Eukaryota; Metazoa; Chordata; Mammalia; Primates; Cercopithecidae
Source: Ensembl
GUUCUUUGUGUUAAAACAAUCCAAAUACAUGAUAUAGAAAAGAUUAGCAUGGCCCCAUCACAAGGAUGAAAUGCAAAUUCGUGAUGCAUUCCAUAUUAAA